GAUGAACGCUGGCGGCGUGCUUAACACAUGCAAGUCGAGCGAUGAAGUUUCCUUCGGGAAAUGGAUUAGCGGCGGACGGGUGAGUAACACGUGGGUAACCUGCCUCAUAGAGUGGAAUAGCCUUCCGAAAGGAAGAUUAAUACCGCAUAAUGUUGAAAGAUGGCAUCAUCAUUCAACCAAAGGAGCAAUCCGCUAUGAGAUAGACCCGCGGCGCAUUAGCUAGUUGGUGGGGUAACGGCCUACCAAGGUGACGAUGCGUAGCCGACCUGAGAGGGUGAUCGGCCACAUUGGGACUGAGACACGGCCCAGACUCCUACGGGAGGCAGCAGUGGGGAAUAUUGCACAAUGGGGGAAACCCUGAUGCAGCAACGCCGCGUGAGUGAUGAAGGUUUUCGGAUCGUAAAGCUCUGUCUUUGGGGAAGA
Molecule: ribosomal RNA, 423 nt
Filed under: uncultured Clostridium sp.
Lineage: Bacteria; Bacillati; Bacillota; Clostridia; Eubacteriales; Clostridiaceae
Description: bacterial SSU rRNA
Rfam family: Bacterial small subunit ribosomal RNA
Source: RNAcentral